ACGGAGGUUUCCACACCCCCCCUCGGGCCUCAUGGGAGGAAGAGGGUCAAGCAGUUCUCCCCGGCGGAGCCGGGGGAAAUGUGGAGUGUCCCAUAAUGCACCAGUGGCCGGAAGACUCACGGACUCGGUUAGUCGUUCGCAGAGCGGCCGGUUAGCCGAGGAAUUAGGUAGGGUUUAGGCCGGGUCCGGAGGGAGGGUCCCGACCUCCAUGAGGCAGAGGCGGCCUCCCUCCGCACGGACUGCUCUGGAACGUCCAAGUCCCAAGCCCCUGGGAGUCCGACCCAGACCUACUGCACGUGUCUGACGAGAGAUCUGGUGGCCUUUAUGCCACAGCGGGAAGUAGGACGAGGUCUUGCAGCCAGGCUGAGGAAGAAGAUCCUGGGUGCUUUUCGGCGUAGAGUUCAAAUAUGACACAUCGUCUCCGCGGAGCCUUUGUUUUCUUAUCUGUAAAAAGGGAUUACAGUAGUAAUAUCUACUGCAUUGAAAGAUCCUGACAUCCUGCUCUGAGAGUAAAUGAGCUGGGCAGGAGGUAGGAGGGGGCCCCGGGGACCUCCAGGUCGCAAAGUCCUUAACCAUCAAAUACCCGCCCUUUUUGUUCACAGCCUUGCUGGGACAGACAAAGCUUUGCUGUCCACCCACGUCGCACCUCAGCAGUAAAAGGAAUAGUUCCCUUGUUCUUUGCCCCACCCACCCAAUUUUAGUGAUGACAACAAAAGGGAGGGACCAGCCUCAGGCACCUUGAGGAGCCCCCUGUCUUUCUUCUCAGCGCAGAAGGCAGGGCUGGGCACCCAGACAGCCCUCAGGCUACUGGAGGCUUUGCCUUGGAAUUGACAUCUCCAGGGGUAACCCUUGGUCAGCUGCUGAGCGAUGUUGGCAUAUGUAAGGCCCAGUUCCCUUGUUGUCUGACAAAGCUGAAACAUAACUUGCACCCAGAGCUCCGCUGUGAGAUCAAGCUGCCUGAGAUUACAAGUUUGCCUGGCUUCCUCUGCUUUCCUCUCCUGCUGCUCCCACUCCCUUACUGGUUUCUUCUGGUAACACUUUUUAAAUAAAUCAUUUGCACACAAA
This is a long non-coding RNA of Phyllostomus discolor (pale spear-nosed bat), 1065 nucleotides long. RefSeq lists it as uncharacterized. The record is from RefSeq and is a predicted model, not a curated record. NCBI's taxonomy places the organism in Eukaryota, Metazoa, Chordata, Mammalia, Chiroptera, Phyllostomidae. The transcript has 2 exons.